UUCUCUGCCGUGUUCAUCUUCUUCUCUGGACGUGGUUGGAAACACUGGCAAGUGGCAAACCAGAUCGAACCUCCAUGUCGUCGCCUCCAGAUCUCUCUCCCCGGACUAUUUCUGUGCUAUAAACCACUCAAAGGCCCCGCAGUCACCAUCGCACUAAAACCCAGGGCCACCAUGCCGGAGCACCGCAUCACGCUGACCCCAUAGCCACCGCAAAACUUGAGCUUCUCCACCGCGCCGAACCACCUCUCUGCUUGGCUGCGAACGUUGUCGCUGAACCACCAGCGCUUCUCCAUCGCGAGCUUCCAAGUUCCAUGGUGCAUCUACAGGCGAGGAUCGAGUCUCCUCUCGCUGAGACCAACAACAAAACCACCAGAUUCAGAUAUGGAUUUUGAGUGUUGAUCUGCUCGGUCCCUUUCCAUUUCCCUCUCUUGAGUUUGCAAAAACCCAGAUCUUCGGUGGUGGUCUUCUUCGCCGGUGGGUUGCUGGUGUUCUACUGAAGGGACAAGGGAGAGGUAGUCAGAGGAAAGAGAGGGAAGAGGUAGAAAGAGAAGAUAAUUGGGGAUAAAAUGUAAAACUUAAAGAUGUUUAAGGACUUAAAUUUAUAAUAUAAAAUUGACUGGUCAAACAGAUGACAUGGCAUCUUAGCAUCUUACUAUUGGUCACUUUAGGGCGGGCAUGACUGCUGUUUAAAACACAACCAGCAUUUUUUAGUUUGC
This 716-nucleotide long non-coding RNA is filed under the name Lotus japonicus. Its description in RNAcentral is "long non-coding RNA (LJAP_LNC001438)". Lineage: Eukaryota; Viridiplantae; Streptophyta; Magnoliopsida; Fabales; Fabaceae. The record is from RNAcentral.